AUUGAACGCUGGCGGCAUGCUUUACACAUGCAAGUCGAACGGCAGCGCGGGCUUCGGCCCGGCGGCGAGUGGCGAACGGGUGAGUAAUGCAUCGGAACGUGCCCAGUAGUGGGGGAUAGCCCGGCGAAAGCCGGAUUAAUACCGCAUACGACCUGAGGGUGAAAGCGGGGGACCGAAAGGCCUCGCGCUAUUGGAGCGGCCGAUGUCGGAUUAGCUAGUUGGUGGGGUAAAGGCUUACCAAGGCGACGAUCCGUAGCUGGUCUGAGAGGACGACCAGCCACACUGGAACUGAGACACGGCCCAGACUCCUACGGGAGGCAGCAGUGGGGAAUAUUGGACAAUGGGGGCAAGCCUGAUCCAGCCAUGCCGCGUGCGGGAAGAAGGCCUUCGGGUUGUAAACCGCUUUUGUUCGGGAAGAAAUCCUCUGGGCUAAUACCCCGGGGGGAUGACGGUACCGGAAGAAUAAGCACCGGCUAACUACGUG
This 484-nucleotide ribosomal RNA is filed under the name uncultured bacterium. Its description in RNAcentral is "partial 16S ribosomal RNA". It matches the Rfam family "Bacterial small subunit ribosomal RNA", at positions 29 to 507 of the family's 1533-position model. The record is from RNAcentral.